Molecule: ribosomal RNA, 202 nt
Filed under: Hypoponera opacior
Lineage: Eukaryota; Metazoa; Arthropoda; Insecta; Hymenoptera; Formicidae
Description: partial large subunit ribosomal RNA
Source: RNAcentral
GAAUUUUAUAUUUAUUGUAAUUAUUUAAAUUAUAAUAAAUAUUUUAUUGGGAGGAUAAUUAAAUUAUGUUAACUUUAAUUUUUAUAAACAUUAAUUAGUGAGGAGUAAAUUUAAAAGAAUAAUAUUAAUUAAUAAAGAAUUAAUUACCUUAGGGAUAACAGCAUAAUGGUUUUUUGUAGUUCAUAUAUAAAGAAUUGUUUAU